This 659-nucleotide ribosomal RNA is filed under the name Drosophila nasuta. RNAcentral's name for it is "eukaryotic LSU rRNA". It matches the Rfam family "Eukaryotic large subunit ribosomal RNA", at positions 100 to 630 of the family's 3401-position model. The record is from RNAcentral. Lineage: Eukaryota; Metazoa; Arthropoda; Insecta; Diptera; Drosophilidae.
GAAAUCAGUUCAGCACUAAGUCACUUUGUCUAUAUGGCAAAUGUGAGAUGCAGUGUAUGGAACGUCAAUAUUCUAGUAUGAGAAAUUAACGAUUUAAGUCCUUCUUAAAUGAGGCCAUUUACCCAUAGAGGGUGCCAGGCCCGUAUAACGUUAAUGAUUAUUAGAUGAUGUUUCCAAAGAGUCGUGUUGCUUGAUAGUGCAGCACUAAGUGGGUGGUAAACUCCAUCUAAAACUAAAUAUAACCAUGAGACCGAUAGUAAACAAGUACCGUGAGGGAAAGUUGAAAAGAACUCUGAAUAGAGAGUUAAAUAGUACGUGAAACUGCUUAGAGGUUAAGCCCGAUGAACCUGAAUAUCCGUUAUGGAAAAUUCAUCAUUAGAAUUGUAAUAUUUAAUCAAUAUUAUAACGAUAGUGUGCAUUUUUUCCAUAUAAGGACAUUGUAAUCUAUUAGCAUGUAUGGAAUUUAUCAAACAAUUUUGAUAAGAGUUUAUUUAAAUUAGAGUGCUUGCAUUUUAACAUAAAAUAAAUUUCAAAAAUUUGAUAAAGUGCUGAUAGAUUAUAUGAGUACAGUGCGUUAAUUUUUCGGAAUUAUAUAAUGGCAUGAUUAUCAUUGAUUUUUAUGUUUAUUAUAAGCACUUGUAUGAUUAACAAUGCGAAAG